UACGAAGGGGGCUAGCGUUGUUCGGAUUUACUGGGCGUAAAGCGCACGUAGGCGGGUCGUUAAGUCAGGGGUGAAAACCCGAGGCUCAACCUCGGAACUGCCUUUGAUACUGGAGACCUUGAGUUCGGGAGAGGUGAGUGGAACUGCGAGUGUAGAGGUGAAAUUCGUAGAUAUUCGCAAGAACACCAGUGGCGAAGGCGGCUCACUGGCCCGAAACUGACGCUGAGGUGCGAAAGCGUGGGGAGCAAACAGG
This 253-nucleotide ribosomal RNA is filed under the name uncultured bacterium. RNAcentral describes it as "partial 16S ribosomal RNA". It matches the Rfam family "Bacterial small subunit ribosomal RNA", at positions 524 to 776 of the family's 1533-position model. The record is from RNAcentral.